UGAGCUGACAGGAGUCUGUGUCUGGUGUGU
Molecule: non-coding RNA, 30 nt
Filed under: Homo sapiens (human)
Lineage: Eukaryota; Metazoa; Chordata; Mammalia; Primates; Hominidae
Source: RNAcentral